This 1288-nucleotide long non-coding RNA is filed under the name Gossypium raimondii (Peruvian cotton). RNAcentral's name for it is "long non-coding RNA (GRAI_LNC009764)". The record is from RNAcentral. Lineage: Eukaryota; Viridiplantae; Streptophyta; Magnoliopsida; Malvales; Malvaceae.
UUUUAAAAAAAAGGGUUAAAAACUUUGUUUUCUCUCUAGCUUCCACUGGGCAUUGCCCAGAUUCCGGCGUGGGGAUCGCCGUCGGCCGCCGCGCUCUGGCCACAGCACGCGGUGGCCGAAAAAUUCGAAAAGGUAAAAAAACACUUUUUUUUGUAUUUUUCGUAAAUAUAAACUAUUAUAUAUAUAUGUAUAUAUAUGAUUGAAAAAAAAAUGAAAGAAAUAAAAGGAAUCUAAAAACAGGAAUAAAAAGGAAAAGAAGAACACCUUUUUUUUUAUUUUCUUUUUUGCGAUUCUUUUAUUGAUUUCCCAAUAUUUUUUUGUUUUUUUUGACAUUUGUUCUCCCCCCUUACAGUGAAGACAUUUGGCUUUUUUAUAGCCUAAGUUACAUGUUAUUUUUGCUAUUUCUCUUGCGUUUUCUGUUGUUCUUGUGUGUUUGCUCUGUUUUGCAGGUGAUUGACAGGCAAGUGGGUGAGUUGGUGGCGGUGGGUGGUGUCAGAAGGGCAGGUGGCCGUGACUUGCGGCGCUGGAGGCUGAAGACCUAGGUGCGGCGCACCUAGGGUUUUCCCUUAGCUGAAAAUUGGCCUAAUUAAAAAUUUUUUUGGGCCAUUUGGGCUUAAGGUUAAAUUUGUUUGGGUUAUGUUGUAUUGGGUUUGGAUUAUUGGGUUUGGGCCAUUGUAAGGGUUAUUUGGGCCCCGGGCAAAUUUAGGCUUGUACAAUCACAAAUUAACUCGAUACCGACUCAAGAUUGAUGACAACACCAUGAUAAACAAAUUUGAUUUUUUUUCCAUUUUAACAUCAUAUAUUAUUAUUAAUUCGUUUCAAACCACGCGUUUCAUUAUCUAUUUUGUGUUAUUUUUAAACACAUAUUUAUAUUUUAAAUUUGUUCUUUCCACAUGCAUACGUGUGGGAUAAAAUUUUUAAUUUACUGAUUGAUUUCCUAUUAAUUUAUAUACUAAAUCAUGGGCUAUUUUAUUAAAAUAAUCCAAAAAAAUUAAAUAUUUACAAGAAUGACCCGAGUUCAAAAACAUUAACAAAAAUGACCUGGAGGGAAUAAUGCACAGUGGUGUCGGCAACCCAUGUGUAUUUUUUUCACCUGUAUUUUGUAAAAUAAAUCUUGUACCUAAUUUUUUUAUAAAAAAAUUUGGGUGCCGGGUAACAGGUGGCCGACACCCAUUUUUAGUAAAAAAAAUUUUGAUCCCGUGAACUCAUUGGCCGACAAUGGUACAUAUGGGUAUCCCAUGAUUAAAAAACAAAAAGAAAAAAUAUGUAAACUCAUCUUCUGCAGCUG